AGUGAACGCUGGCGGCGUGCCUAACACAUGCAAGUCGAACGGGCUAGUGCUUCGCACUAGUCUCUUUCUGGGGUUGUUACUCUAAGGCUACCUGCUAAAGUUAUUGCUUUAAAGCAGGGGUUUUAGGAGACUUUCCCCGAAAGGGGCCAGUGCGGAGCACUGGCCAGUGGCGAACGGGUGAGUAACACGUGGGUAAUCUACCCUCGAGUGGGGAAUAAGCUUCCGAAAGGGGGUCUAAUGCCGCAUAACGUUUCAUAACGAUGGUUAUGAAACCAAAGCCCAAAAGGCGCUCGAGGAGGAGCCUGCGUCCUAUCAGCUUGUUGGCAGGGUAAUGGCCUACCAAGGCUAUGACGGGUAGCCGGCCUGAGAGGGUGUCCGGCCACACUGGAACUGAGACACGGUCCAGACUCCUACGGGAGGCAGCAGUGGGGAAUUUUGCGCAAUGGGGAAACCCUGACGCAAGCGAACGCCGCGUGGAGGAUGGACGCCUCGGUGUAACGUCCUAGUCGAAGGACGAAGUACCGACCG
RNAcentral lists this ribosomal RNA (528 nucleotides) under uncultured bacterium. Its description in RNAcentral is "bacterial SSU rRNA". It matches the Rfam family "Bacterial small subunit ribosomal RNA", at positions 29 to 459 of the family's 1533-position model. The record is from RNAcentral.